Molecule: long non-coding RNA, 251 nt
Filed under: Medicago truncatula (barrel medic)
Lineage: Eukaryota; Viridiplantae; Streptophyta; Magnoliopsida; Fabales; Fabaceae
Description: long non-coding RNA (MTRU_LNC007785)
Source: RNAcentral
UGAGAAACAAGUAAUAAUUGGAGUAAAGGAAAACAUGUGUACAUGAAGAAGAAAAAAAAAAAAAAAAGCAAGGGCACUUUGGUCCUUUUAUAAGAUAACAAGUUCAUUCUCUUGUUUCUUUGCAUUGUUGAUGGAAAGCAUUUUGCUAGGAGGGCCACCUCAACCAAUCUUUCCUUUCAUCAUAUAGGAGAACCUAAUGACACAUAUUUUGAUAAACUUUCCCUUAUGCUACUUUUCGUUGUGGCACAUUC